GGCUGGUCUGAGUUCUGUGGUGUUUACAACUAAUUACAACUGAUCACAACCAGUUACAGAUUCCUUUGUUCCAUCUCCACUCCCACUGCUUCACUUGACCAGCCUUUA
RNAcentral lists this Y RNA (108 nucleotides) under Propithecus coquereli (Coquerel's sifaka). RNAcentral's name for it is "Y RNA (ENSPCOG00000006737.1)". It matches the Rfam family "Y RNA". Rfam says of the family: Y RNAs are components of the Ro ribonucleoprotein particle (Ro RNP), in association with Ro60 and La proteins. The Y RNAs and Ro60 and La proteins are well conserved, but the function of the Ro RNP is not known. Lineage: Eukaryota; Metazoa; Chordata; Mammalia; Primates; Indriidae. The record is from Rfam by way of RNAcentral.